UCGCCGCCGACGGCGCAUGCGCUCGCCUGGGUACGCUUUUGCGUCUCCACAGCUUUCCGGGACCUUGCGGCGUCCUCGGCCCGGCUCUGUGCUUCCGGUGCGAAGGUCACGGACAAGAUGGUGCCCCCGGUUCAGGUCUCUCCGCUCAUCAAGCUCGGCCGCUACUCCGCCCUGUUUCUCGGCGUUGCCUACGGAGCCAAGCGCUACAGUUACCUGAAACCUCGGGCAGAAGAGGAAAGGCGGAUAGCAGCUGAGGAGAAGAAGAAGCAGGAUGAGCUGAAGCGGAUCGAGAGAGAAUUGGCAGAAGCCCAAGAGGACACCAUCCUGAAGUGAGCCCGCCUGGCUCCCUGGAGCAGUGUGGAUGAAUAAAGCUUUUUGUGGGGUGA
Equus quagga is the source of this 386-nucleotide long non-coding RNA. RefSeq lists it as uncharacterized. NCBI's taxonomy places the organism in Eukaryota, Metazoa, Chordata, Mammalia, Perissodactyla, Equidae. The transcript has 4 exons. The record is from RefSeq and is a predicted model, not a curated record.